GCAGAGGGCGCACCAUAGGCAUUUCUGACCCAGGACACCUGAGAGCAGGAAGGGUCGCUGUUGCUCCCAGAGGACUCAGGGCCUCUGCCGCUGCCUCAGGACAGAGAGUAGAGCUGCGUUUCCAGCCCGUUCUGCCGCCCACCCCAGGGGAGACCUGGGGAGCUUUGCAGCAACUUGGCAUCUCCUGAGUCACCGGGGAGAAGCUGCCUUGUUGUGCUGAGUGCUGAGGAGGGGGCGCUGGGUGGCUUCCCUGGGCAAGCUGGUUGCUGGGCAGCACAGGCACUUUCAUUUUCUGGGCUGUCCCCGUGUUUCAUUCCUCCCCUUCCCAGACAGUAUUUGAAUAAGACAUAUUUUACUGAAGGACUCAUGGAUUGCGGGGUCCCACGACAUCACCUCAUCGAUGCAGUUGAUGGUUAGUUCCGGAUUCAGGCUUGUUUCCGGGAUGAAACCCUGACAGAAAUUCAGAGGAACGGGAGCUGCAUUCCGUUAGGACGUGAAUACACGAAAUGCUCCUCUCAAGACCUUCUAGAAGAAUGAGCUGGGACCCAGUUUCUGCGUCCUGCUGGAACCAGAGACUGAGGCAUUUUUCACCCAGCAUAACAUUCUGUCGCUCCUCCGCCUCGUGGCCAAUGACAAGAUUUCCUGUUUUUACGGCUCAAUAAUAUUACAUUCCAUAUACUACAUCUCAACUUAUUCAUCAGUUGAUGGAUGCUCAGGAAGUUUCCGUAAUUUGGCUGUUGUAGAAAAUGCUGCUGUAAACAUCAGGGUGCAUGUAUCCCUUUGAAGGAUUAUUUUGUAUUCUUUGUGGAAAUACCUCGUAGUGAAAUCGCUGGAUCGUAAGAUAUUGCCCAGGUGUCUGAAAGCCUGCAUUGAGCUGAGCCUUAAGAGAGAAGUUUGGAAUUCAGUUUUGAGAGUAGACAGCCAGUCCAAGAAAGCCUUGUAAUUGGCUCUUAGAUUUAAGUUGUGAGAGAUUGUGGAUGCCUCGCGAGUGCCUGGAUCUAGAUGUGGGCCUUGUUCUGAGAACAGGUGAGCUAAAUACCUAACCUGAGAUUGAGCAAACUGUACUUUUUCUUUGGAGAUUUUAUGGGCAUUUUAAAACCAGAAGUUUUCCCAAGGGGGUUCUGUCUUCGUGUGAAGAGGCACCAGCCGGGGAGCAGAGAAGCAAAUCAUCUACACAUUGUAACAAAGUCGAGCCUGAAGAACGCUUUCCAUCAUCCAAAUCAGCCUUUAAGGUUUGUGGGACACGUGAAGCACUCUGUGAAACCCAGGGAGGUUGCAGUCCAGAUGUAUUGUCAUUCGCUGCGUGUGACGGUCAAAAGAUACUGGCUAUCCUUAUCAACUAGAAUGCUAAAAACUGCAGCACAUGGGUC
Prionailurus viverrinus (fishing cat) is the source of this 1370-nucleotide long non-coding RNA. RefSeq lists it as uncharacterized. The transcript is spliced from 3 exons. NCBI's taxonomy places the organism in Eukaryota, Metazoa, Chordata, Mammalia, Carnivora, Felidae. The record is from RefSeq and is a predicted model, not a curated record.